RNAcentral lists this ribosomal RNA (1202 nucleotides) under metagenome. RNAcentral's name for it is "bacterial LSU rRNA". It matches the Rfam family "Bacterial large subunit ribosomal RNA", at positions 1706 to 2925 of the family's 2925-position model. The record is from RNAcentral.
UAAGGAACUCGGCAAAAUGACUCCGUAACUUCGGGAGAAGGAGUGCUGCGCAAGCAGCCGCAGAGAAAUGGCCCAAGCAACUGUUUAGCAAAAACACAGGUCUAUGCGAAACCGAAAGGUGAGGUAUAUGGGCUGACGCCUGCCCGGUGCUGGAAGGUUAAGGGGAGAGCUUAGCGCGAGCGAAGGUUUGAACUUAAGCCCCAGUAAACGGCGGCCGUAACGAUAACGGUCCUAAGGUAGCGAAAUUCCUUGUCGGGUAAGUUCCGACCCGCACGAAAGGCGUAAUGAUUUGGGCACUGUCUCAACAACACACCCGGUGAAAUUGAAAUACCAGUGAAGAUGCUGGUUACCCGCGCCAGGACGGAAAGACCCCAUGGAGCUUUACUCCAGCCUGAUACUGGGAUUCGGUAUUGCAUGUACAGGAUAGGUGGGAGGCUAAGAACUCAUGGCGCCAGCCGUGAGGGAGCCGAUGUUGGGAUACCACCCCUGCAGUACUGGGUUUCUAACCUGCGCCCGUGACCCGGGCGGGGGACAAUGUCAGGCGGGGAGUUUGACUGGGGCGGUCGCCUCCGAAAGGGUAUCGGAGGCGCUCAAAGGUCUCCUCAGGAUGGUUGGAAACCAUCCAGAGAGUGCAAAGGCAGAAGGAGGCUUGACUGCGACACCGACGGGUGGAGCAGGUACGAAAGUAGGACUUAGUGAUCCGGUGGCAUAAAGUGGGAUUGCCAUCGCUCAACGGAUAAAAGCUACCCUGGGAUAACAGGCUUAUCACUCCCAAGAGUUCACAUCGACGGAGUGGUUUGGCACCUCGAUGUCGGCUCAUCGCAUCCUGGAGCUGGAGCAGGUUCCAAGGGUUGGGCUGUUCGCCCAUUAAAGCGGUACGCGAGCUGGGUUCAGAACGUCGUGAGACAGUUCGGUCCCUAUCCGGCGCGGGCGCAGGAUAUCUGAGAGGAGCUGUCCUUAGUACGAGAGGACCGGGAUGGACCGUCCGCUGGUGGACCGGUUGUCAUGCCAAUGGCACGGCCGGGUAGCCAAGACGGGAAGGGAUAAACGCUGAAGGCAUCUAAGCGUGAAGCCCCCCUCAAGAUGAGAUAUCCAUACUCGAAAGAGUGAGAGACCCCUUAGAGACGAUGAGGUAGAUAGGGCAGAGAUGGAAGCACAGCGAUGUGUGGAGUUGACUGUUACUAAUCGGUCGAAAGCUUGAC